This 484-nucleotide ribosomal RNA is filed under the name uncultured bacterium. Its description in RNAcentral is "partial 16S ribosomal RNA". It matches the Rfam family "Bacterial small subunit ribosomal RNA", at positions 28 to 507 of the family's 1533-position model. The record is from RNAcentral.
AUUGAACGCUGGCGGCAUGCUUUACACAUGCAAGUCGAACGGCAGCGCGGGCUUCGGCCUGGCGGCGAGUGGCGAACGGGUGAGUAAUGCAUCGGAACGUGCCCCUUAUUUGGGGCUAGCCCGGCGAAAGCCGGAUUAAUACCGCAUACGACCUGAGGGUGAAAGCGGGGGACCCAAAGGCCUCGCGCUAUUGGAGCGGCCGAUGUCGGAUUAGCUAGUUGGUGGGGUAAAGGCUUACCAAGGCGACGAUCCGUAGCUGGUCUGAGAGGACGACCAGCCACACUGGGACUGAGACACGGCCCAGACUCCUACGGGAGGCAGCAGUGGGGAAUUUUGGACAAUGGGGGCAAGCCUGAUCCAGCAAUGCCGCGUGCGGGAAGAAGGCCUUCGGGUUGUAAACCGCUUUUGUUCGGGAAGAAAUCCUCUGGGCUAAUACCCCGGGGGGAUGACGGUACCGGAAGAAUAAGCACCGGCUAACUACGUG